This 497-nucleotide ribosomal RNA is filed under the name uncultured bacterium. Its description in RNAcentral is "partial 16S ribosomal RNA". It matches the Rfam family "Bacterial small subunit ribosomal RNA", at positions 28 to 507 of the family's 1533-position model. The record is from RNAcentral.
GAUGAACGCUGGCGGCGUGCCUAAUACAUGCAAGUCGAGCGAACAGACGAGGAGCUUGCUCCUCUGACGUUAGCGGCGGACGGGUGAGUAACACGUGGAUAACCUACCUAUAAGACUGGGAUAACUUCGGGAAACCGGAGCUAAUACCGGAUAAUAUAUUGAACCGCAUGGUUCAAUAGUGAAAGACGGUUUUGCUGUCACUUAUAGAUGGAUCCGCGCCGCAUUAGCUAGUUGGUAAGGUAACGGCUUACCAAGGCAACGAUGCGUAGCCGACCUGAGAGGGUGAUCGGCCACACUGGAACUGAGACACGGUCCAGACUCCUACGGGAGGCAGCAGUAGGGAAUCUUACGCAAUGGGCGAAAGCUUGACGGAGCAACGCCGCGUGAGUGAUGAAGGUCUUCGGAUCGUAAAACUCUGUUAUUAGGGAAGAACAAAUGUGUAAGUAACUAUGAACGUCUUGACGGUACCUAAUCAGAAAGCCACGGCUAACUACGUG